GCUCCCUCGGGCAGCACGUCCUUUGAAAAUGGUACAGAGAAAGUUAGCAUGGCCCCUGCGUAAGGAUGACAGGACGACUCCAGAAGCUUUUUU
Molecule: small nuclear RNA, 93 nt
Organism: Lynx canadensis (Canada lynx)
Lineage: Eukaryota; Metazoa; Chordata; Mammalia; Carnivora; Felidae
Source: Ensembl